AGAAGGAGGUUGCUUAGAAAGGGUACUAAGGGAUGACAGAGAAGCAACUAUGUUUGAAUGGACUGCAAGUAUAAACCUUGUCAAAAGUGUGGCUGACGCUUUAUCCUAUAUGCACCACGAUUGCUUGCCUCCAAUCGUUCAUCGAGACAUAUCAAGCAAGAACAUCUUGCUGGAUUUAGAGCAUGUUGCUUACAUCUCUGAUUUUGGCACAGCUAGAAUCUUGAAGCCUGACUCUUCCAAUUGGACUUCAUUUGCAGGCACAUUUAGAUACACUACUCCAGAGUUUGCGUAUACAAUGGCAAUGAAUGAGAAAUGUGAUGUUUAUAGCUUCGGAGUCCAGGAUAUCUCGUGAUCUUCGUUCUCUCCUCGACAACACCAAUUGCGCUGGAUACACCGCUGAGGGACGUUCUGGACCAAAGGCUUUCACCUCCUAGAGAUCAAGUUGCAGAAAAACUGGUGCUUGUUGUGAAGCUUGCAAAACAAACCAUAGUCUCGGCCAACCAUGCAACAAGUCUCCCAGGAGCUAUAAAUUCCAAGGAUAUCUUUACAACUCACAAUUGACAAAAUUACCUCGGGACAAAUGGUUAACCAAGCUUGAUUUCACCAUGUCUUACUGUACCAUAAUUUAUCUCAAGAACUUGAAAGGCCAAAGUUGUUUCAAAGUCUAUAGGAAGUUAGGUACUGUUGAUAUAUUCAGAAAUAAAAAAAUCUUUUAGCUGUCAGUUAUUUUGAUGGUUUUACC
This is a non-coding RNA of Prunus mume (Japanese apricot), 742 nucleotides long. The record is from RefSeq and is a predicted model, not a curated record. NCBI's taxonomy places the organism in Eukaryota, Viridiplantae, Streptophyta, Magnoliopsida, Rosales, Rosaceae.